GAUGAACGCUGGCGGCGUGCCUAAUACAUGCAAGUCGAGCGAACAGACGAGGAACUUGCUCCUCUGACGUUAGCGGCGGACGGGUGAGUAACACGUGGAUAACCUACCUAUAAGACUGGGAUAACUUCGGGAAACCGGAGCUAAUACCGGAUAAUAUAUUGAACCGCAUGGUUCAUUAGUGAAAGACGGUUUUGCUGUCACUUCUAGAUGGAUCCGCGCCGCAUUAGCUAGUUGGUAAGGUAACGGCUUACCAAGGCAACGAUGCGUAGCCGACCUGAGAGGGUGAUCGGCCACACUGGAACUGAGACACGGUCCAGACUCCUACGGGAGGCAGCAGUAGGGAAUCUUCCGCAAUGGGCGAAAGCCUGACGGAGCAACGCCGCGUGAGUGAUGAAGGUCUUCGGAUCGUAAAACUCUGUUAUUAGGGAAGAACAAAUGUGUAAGUAACUAUGCACGUCUUGACGGUACCUAAUCAGAAAGCCACGGCUAACUACGUG
This 497-nucleotide ribosomal RNA is filed under the name uncultured bacterium. RNAcentral describes it as "partial 16S ribosomal RNA". It matches the Rfam family "Bacterial small subunit ribosomal RNA", at positions 28 to 507 of the family's 1533-position model. The record is from RNAcentral.